This 83-nucleotide transfer RNA is filed under the name Parolsenella catena. RNAcentral's name for it is "tRNA-Tyr". It matches the Rfam family "tRNA". From Rfam's summary of the family: Transfer RNA (tRNA) molecules are approximately 80 nucleotides in length. Their secondary structure includes four short double-helical elements and three loops (D, anti-codon, and T loops). The record is from RNAcentral. Lineage: Bacteria; Bacillati; Actinomycetota; Coriobacteriia; Coriobacteriales; Atopobiaceae. RNAcentral also lists the same sequence under 4 other names.
GGGGAUGUGGCACAGCGGCAACUGCGGCGGACUGUAAAUCCGCUCCUUCGGGUUCCUUGGUUCGAGUCCAAGCAUCCCCACCA